RNAcentral lists this unclassified non-coding RNA (2292 nucleotides) under uncultured fungus. Its description in RNAcentral is "sequence contains 18S rRNA gene, ITS1, 5.8S rRNA gene, ITS2, 28S rRNA gene". The stretch from base 618 to 2292 matches the Rfam family "Eukaryotic large subunit ribosomal RNA", at positions 1 to 1486 of the family's 3401-position model. The record is from RNAcentral. Lineage: Eukaryota; Fungi.
GGAAGGAUCAUUAACGUUACCUCAUCCAACCUUGCUGUCGGUCGCCUGCAAAGGUGGCCGACAACAAGCACCUGUGACUUGUUAAAGUCCUUAACAGUACCCGAUCCGAUCGGGUACCGUUAAAGCACCCUUUACAAUCGUAUGUCUAAUCGUGAGUUCCUCUCUGUGAGGAGCGCAACCAUUGUUAACCAAGACACAACUUUUAACAACGGAUAUCUAGGUUCUCACAACGAUGAAGAGCGCAGCGAAAUGCGAUACGUAGUGUGAAUUGCAGAAUUCAGUGAAUCAUCGAAACCUUGAACGCACCUUGCGCUUGCGGUCACCCGCAAGCAUGCCUGUUUGAGUGUCGUUUAUCCAUCCUCAUCAAAUUCAAGAUACCCUCUUUGACUUCUGGUGGUACUGAGCAUUUGCAUCAUUGCAAUCGCUUGAAAAGGAGAGAGGCUACAGGGUAUCGGAUUCAGCAUCCGGCAGCUUCUGCAGUCCACGGGUGUCUCUAGCAUGCUCUGUCAUGAUUCACAUCCGUACUGCAACCGAGGAGCUCCGAAGCAGAAAUCGUACUCUCGCCUUAAUCUGCUAUCCGCCCCUCAAAAGGGGCAGAUAGAUCGCAUCCAAAACUGCGACCUCAAAUCAGACAAGAUUACCCGCUGAAUUUAAGCAUAUAAAUAAGCGGUGGAGAAGAAACUAACCAGGAUUCCCUCAGUAACUGCGAGUGAAGCGGGAAGAGCUCAAGCUUAAAAUCUGGAGAGGCCUCCUCUCCCGAAUUGUAGUUUCGCGAAUGACGCUUACGGGCAGUCCGCUCCGGCAGAAGUCCUCUGGAAAGAGGCGCCGCAGAGGGUGAGAGCCCCGUACACGGCCGGAUGCCGGGCUGUCAACACGUACCGUCCAUUUGCAGAGUCGGGUUGUUUGGGAGUACAGCCCUAAGCGCGUGGUAAGUUCCAUGUAAAGCUAAAUAAGGGUGAGAGACCGAUAGCGAACAAGUACCGUGAGGGAAAGAUGCAAAGAACUUUGAAAAGAGAGUUAAAAGUGCUUGAAAUUGUUAAAAGGGAAGCGAUUUGGGUCAGUGAAUGGCGGUUGCCGACUCAUUCGCACCGGGGGUGUUGGUUCGCGGUCAGCUCGAGCAGCCCUCUGUGGCGGCCAACUGAUCGCUGCCUGGCAUCUCCGGGGCGAAGCACUUCGGUGAUCGCCGAGUCAGCAUCAGUUAGGGGAGGAGUAAAAGGAUUGGAGGGAGGUGACAUGAUGGAACUCCUUGAGGGUUUCACCGUGUGUUAUACCCUCCGGUAGAUGCUCUUCUCAUCUAACUGAGGAGUCUCUAUGGACUAGAACAGGUGCCCUCUGGGCUGGACAUGGUUGCUCGCUGGUGCUUGUUGGAGAGGGGGACAGCAUGCUGUGCCUUUCAUCAGCGGGUGUCACCGAGCAGCCGUCGCACACCUGUUAGUGAUGCUGACCAGACGGCCCAAACCGUCCCGUCUUGAAACACGGACCAAGGAGUCUAACAUAUAUGCGAGUGCUUGGGUGACAAACCUAGACGCGUAAUGAAAGUAAAGGGAGGUUCGGCCUCCUGAGGUGGGAAGCCUCUCUCUAGGCAGGGGCAGCACCAUCGACCGAUCUGGAUACUUUUGGAUAGAUUUGAGUAAGAGCAUAUCUGUUGGGACCCGAAAGAUAGCGAACUAUGCCCGCAUAGGGUGAGGCCAGACGAAAGUCUGGUGGAGGCUCGUAGCGAUACUGACGUGCAAAUCGUUCGUCAAAUGUGGGUAUAGCGGCGAAAGACUAAUCGAGCUGUCUAGUAAACUGCUUGCUAGCAAAAACAGAGGUCUGAUGGUUCUCAGACUUUCGGUCUGUUAGUCACUGGCUCAGCAAUUUAUGAGCCACUGGCGAGGUGUCCUGGUACGGGGAAGGCCUCAAAGCUGUAGUGCUGCUGAGAACCGCAUGCAGCACUCCGGUAAGGGGUUGAUCCCGUGGCGAGCUAGCACAGAGUGAUCUGUGCAUAGCCGUCGUAACGCGCGCUAAGGCACCGGUAUCUCUUGACGACUCGCUCGUCAAGGAUGCUCAAGGUACGUGCUAAUCCUGCACGAUGAAAAAGUGCAUCUGACACUGGAGCUCCCAUUUUAGCAAAGGUGUUGGAGAGAUGGGUGGAAAGGAAAUGUUCCAUCCACGAAGCAGCGAUUUAUUUGAAUUCAUGUACAGCUGUGGUUCCAUCGGUGAAUUCCACUGUGUUUCUUCUCUCCCUCGGGGGAUAGAAUGCAUUCAGCAAAGUCGCUGCUUCAGUCUCGGUAUCAAUGAGCUGGUUCCUUC